RNAcentral lists this ribosomal RNA (348 nucleotides) under Waldo digitatus. Its description in RNAcentral is "Waldo sp. 1 PD-2012 partial 16S ribosomal RNA". It matches the Rfam family "Bacterial large subunit ribosomal RNA", at positions 1862 to 2515 of the family's 2925-position model. The record is from RNAcentral. Lineage: Eukaryota; Metazoa; Mollusca; Bivalvia; Galeommatida; Lasaeidae.
CCCGGUGAUAAUUUUAACGGCCGCAGUUAGGAGCUGUGCUAAGGUAGCGUAAUAAAUUGUCCUUUAAAUGAGGAAAUGAAUGAAUGGUUUGACGUAAAAAAUUCUGUCUCCAAAGAAAUUUAGGAAAUUUUUUUCUUAGUGAAAAAUCUAAGAUUUUAUUAAAAGACGAGAAGACCCUUUUGAGCUUGAAUUAUUAAUAUAGUUUAAUAUUAAAAAAGUUUGGUUGGGACAACCUGGGAGUAUAAAUAGCCUCCUUUGAGUAAUAAAAAUCCAAAAAUUUUGAAAAAAGAAAAAGUUACCGCAGGGAUAACAGCGUUAUCUUCUCUGAGAGAACAAAUUGAAGAGAAG